Molecule: ribosomal RNA, 845 nt
Filed under: uncultured fungus
Lineage: Eukaryota; Fungi
Description: eukaryotic LSU rRNA
Rfam family: Eukaryotic large subunit ribosomal RNA
Source: RNAcentral
GAAAUCUGGCUGGUUUACUAGUCCGAGUUGUAAUUUAAAGAAGCGUUUUCGGUGGCAGCCUGGGUAUAAAUCCUUUGGAAUAGGGUAUCAUAGAGGGUGAGAAUCCCGUCUUUGACCUAGUGCAUGCUACUAUGUGAUACGUUUUCAAAGAGUCGAGUUGUUUGGGAAUGCAGCUCAAAAUGGGUGGUAAAUUUCAUCUAAAGCUAAAUAUUGGCGAGAGACCGAUAGCGAACAAGUACCGUGAGGGAAAGAUGAAAAGAACUUUGAAAAGAGAGUUAAACAGUGCGUGAAAUUGUUGAAAGGGAAACGUUUGACACCAGUCAUGUGGGUGGAAAAUCAGUCUUUUGCAUUGGGGAGUUGUAAAGGUUCGGACCGCAAGGCCGGCUUUUGCUUCAUCUUUGGUGUAAGGGAUGCACUUUUUCAUCUACAGGUCAACAUCAGUUUCUUUUGCUGGACAAAACUCCGAGAGAAGGUAGCAGCUUAGGCUGUGUUAUAGCUCUGGAGCGAUACAGUGAAGGGGACUGAGGUUUUCGCAGCGUGUGCUCUCGGGCAAGGCUGGAUGGGUGCUAUGGGAUCGUUCGGGGUACAAUGCCUGGCAUUUUGCUUCGUGUCUUUUCUAUACUCGCUCAACUCAGCUCUUCCACGCUUAGGAUGUUGACUUAAUGGUUUUAAACGACCCGUCUUGAAACACGGACCAAGGAGUCUAACAUAUAUGCAAGUGUUUGGGUGGCAAACCCAUGCGCGUAAUGAAAGUGAACGUAGGUGCCAUCCGCAAGGUGCAGCAUCGACCGAUCUUGAUAUUUUUGGAUAGAUUUGAGUAAGAGCAUAUAUGCUGGGACCCGAAA